Molecule: ribosomal RNA, 465 nt
Filed under: uncultured bacterium
Lineage: Bacteria
Description: partial 16S ribosomal RNA
Rfam family: Bacterial small subunit ribosomal RNA
Source: RNAcentral
GACGAACGCUGGCGGCGUGCUUAACACAUGCAAGUCGAACGGAAAGGCCCUGCUUGCAGGGUACUCGAGUGGCGAACGGGUGAGUAACACGUGGGUGAUCUGCCCUGCACUUCGGGAUAAGCCUGGGAAACUGGGUCUAAUACCGGAUAGGAGCCAUUUUUAGUGUGAUGGUUGGAAAGUUUUUUCGGGGUGGGAUGAGCUCGCGGCCUAUCAGCUUGUUGGUGGGGUAAUGGCCUACCAAGGCGGCGACGGGUAGCCGGCCUGAGAGGGUGGACGGCCACAUUGGGACUGAGAUACGGCCCAGACUCCUACGGGAGGCAGCAGUGGGGAAUAUUGCACAAUGGGCGCAAGCCUGAUGCAGCGACGCCGCGGGGGGGAUGACGGCCUUCGGGUUGUAAACUCCUUUCGCUAGGGACGAAGCUUUUUGUGACGGUACCUAGAUAAGAAGCACCGGCUAACUACGUG